This 425-nucleotide ribosomal RNA is filed under the name uncultured bacterium. Its description in RNAcentral is "partial 16S ribosomal RNA". It matches the Rfam family "Bacterial small subunit ribosomal RNA", at positions 354 to 796 of the family's 1533-position model. The record is from RNAcentral.
GUGGGGAAUCUUAGACAAUGGGGGAAACCCUGAUCUAGCCAUGCCGCGUGAGCGAUGAAGGCCUUAGGGUUGUAAAGCUCUUUCAGCUGGGAAGAUAAUGACGGUACCAGCAGAAGAAGCCCCGGCUAACUCCGUGCCAGCAGCCGCGGUAAUACGGAGGGGGCUAGCGUUGUUCGGAAUUACUGGGCGUAAAGCGCACGUAGGCGGACCGGAAAGUCAGAGGUGAAAUCCCAGGGCUCAACCUUGGAACUGCCUUCAAAACUCCUGGUCUGGAGUUCGAGAGAGGUGAGUGGAAUUCCGAGUGUAGAGGUGAAAUUCGUAGAUAUUCGGAGGAACACCAGUGGCGAAGGCGGCUCACUGGCUCGAUACUGACGCUGAGGUGCGAAAGCGUGGGGAGCAAACAGGAUUAGAAACCCGGGUAGUCC